Molecule: ribosomal RNA, 253 nt
Filed under: uncultured bacterium
Lineage: Bacteria
Description: partial 16S ribosomal RNA
Rfam family: Bacterial small subunit ribosomal RNA
Source: RNAcentral
UACGUAGGGCGCAAGCGUUAUCUGGAAUUAUUGGGCGUAAAGAGCUCGUAGGCGGUUUGUCGCGUCUGCCGUGAAAGUCCGGGGCUCAACUCCGGAUCUGCGGUGGGUACGGGCAGACUAGAGUGAUGUAGGGGAGACUGGAAUUCCUGGUGUAGCGGUGAAAUGCGCAGAUAUCAGGAGGAACACCGGUGGCGAAGGCGGGUCUCUGGGCCGAUACUGACGCUGAGGAGCGAAAGCGUGGGGAGCAAACAGG